CAGCCCGCCUUGGAUUUGCAGCCCCUUACACUGGACCAGAGAUUUGAAUCCUGCCCAGGACGCCUCAUAUGUCUGUCUUCUCUUGUUUCUGUCUGAAAGACCGACCUGAGCAUCUGCCAGGAGGCAGUUCUCCAGGGGCGAGCACCUUGUCCGGAGAUAGCGUCACUGGACUUGGAUACCCUCUGAAGGUCUUAAUGACGCCCUGUGUCCCAGAGUGAAAGAUUCAACGUUACCACAGCUGCGCCUUUCCCCGAGAAUCUGAAAACAGAAGGCAAGCUGAGUCUGUCCUCGGAGGAGAGAGCGAUAGAGAAAGCUCGCCCUCUGCUGGUGGAGAGUUGGAGCCAGGCUCACAAUAACUGACCCUGUGAUCCAUGGGUACUAUCUCAUAAUGUGGGUUUCUAAAUUCCUCAGACCCUCGAAGCUGCCACCUCCCAUCCAGCAAUGCCCCCACCGGCCUCGCUCCCUCGAGGUUCUCUCGACUGACUCAUGGUUCAGUCUUCCCAGAAGCAUUUUGAAAUGACAAAUGUACUCUCAACGGCUUAGUCCUUUUGGUAAUUUUUUUUCAGGAUUGAUUUUGGCAAAGUCUGGUCUACUCUGUCACAGAAUUUAGUUGUAGAAGUCAAGUUAUUUUUUAUAAGCCUGGCCCUAUAUUACAUGUGAUAUAAAAUAGCAUUUUUAUCUUUUGACCUGGUUAUGAUCUUUUGUUUCUGGAGAGAAAUUGUAAGGUGUCUUAAAAGACACCUUAUGGAACUGGAUGGUAUAUCUUAACUAAUUAAAGACUUGUCCCCAUGAA
Peromyscus californicus insignis is the source of this 793-nucleotide long non-coding RNA. RefSeq lists it as uncharacterized. The record is from RefSeq and is a predicted model, not a curated record. The transcript is spliced from 2 exons. Lineage: Eukaryota; Metazoa; Chordata; Mammalia; Rodentia; Cricetidae.